UGCCAGCCGCCGCUGUAAUACGGAAUGUGUGAUCGUUAAUCGGAAUUACUGGGCGUAAAGCGCACGUAGGUGGCUUGGUAAGUCGGAUGUGAAAGCCCUGGGCUCAACCCCGGAAGUGCAUUGGAAACUGGCGAACUUGAGUACGGGAGAGGAAAGUGGAAUUCCGAGUGUAGGGGUGAAAUCCGUAGAUAUUCGGAGGAACACCAGUGGCGAAGGCGGCUUUCUGGACCGAUACUGAUGCUGAGACGCGAAAGCGUGGGGAGCAAACAGGAUUAGAUA
RNAcentral lists this ribosomal RNA (279 nucleotides) under uncultured bacterium. RNAcentral's name for it is "partial 16S ribosomal RNA". It matches the Rfam family "Bacterial small subunit ribosomal RNA", at positions 506 to 784 of the family's 1533-position model. The record is from RNAcentral.